UGCUUAUUGUUGUUGAAGUUCUUGUUUCAACAACCUGUGGAUUAAAUUACCUUCCUAUUAAAGAAAAAUUGCAAUAAUGGUACUAUAAAUGGUUGAUAAGAUUUUAUUUUGUGAUUUGUUACAAUAGUUUUAUAAUGCAAGUAUUGAAAUAUUGAUAAAAACAGCGAUUUGGAGGGAAAAUCGUUUUCUGGUGGUGUGGCAUCAGAUCAUGUUGUGAUGCCGGGACGGCUACCGCUAGCUCAUGCAUUAUUUCUUCCAACACAUAAUCGUGUCUUUAACUAUUAUCAUCAAGAAAUAAUCAAACUUUACUUCAGAUUAAAUGAAAUUGACAUCAAAUGUGACAGCAAUGACAGCUGUGUCAUUCUUAGUCGACAGUUUCCAAAGUAAUGGUACGCUCAAAAUUUAUACUUUUUUAUUCUGCACUGCGGUGUAGAGUUUAGUUUAAUCCCAAAUAACUCGAGAACGGUACAUUUUGGCGAUAUGAA
This is a long non-coding RNA of Tribolium castaneum (red flour beetle), 485 nucleotides long. RefSeq lists it as uncharacterized. The record is from RefSeq and is a predicted model, not a curated record. The transcript is spliced from 3 exons. NCBI's taxonomy places the organism in Eukaryota, Metazoa, Arthropoda, Insecta, Coleoptera, Tenebrionidae.